CCCUGGGAGAACCAGCCUUAGAGGAACGGGGCUUCCCUGCAGACAUCCUCCUGGAGGAGAUGAUCCCCACACUGAAGCUGGUCAUCAGGGCAGUCAGGAUCAUGCAAUUCCUCCUGGAACAAGAAGCGGGUUUAAGGCAACUUGAGGCAUUACGAUGUCAAAGACGUGAUCGAGCAGUACUCUGCCGGACACCUGGACAUGCUCUGUAGAAUCAAAUACCUCCAGACCAGGAUCGACAUGAUUCUGGCCCCUGGACCCCCCCUCACCCCCAAACAGAAGAAAACGCAGAAAACGCCUUUUACCUACCCGCCCAGUCAGUCGCCCAGGAGGAGACCUACCUAGCCAAGCUGACUCGAUGCCCGACACCGAAGCACCAAAGCAUGAUGGGUUAGAUUUGUACCGGGGGAGAGACGGUUGAGGA
Molecule: long non-coding RNA, 421 nt
Organism: Etheostoma spectabile (orangethroat darter)
Lineage: Eukaryota; Metazoa; Chordata; Actinopteri; Perciformes; Percidae
Exons: 4
Source: RefSeq, a predicted model, not a curated record